RNAcentral lists this ribosomal RNA (258 nucleotides) under uncultured bacterium. Its description in RNAcentral is "partial 16S ribosomal RNA". It matches the Rfam family "Bacterial small subunit ribosomal RNA", at positions 524 to 776 of the family's 1533-position model. The record is from RNAcentral.
UACGUAGGGUCCAAGCGUUGUUCGGAAUUACUGGGCGUAAAGCGCGCGUAGGCCGCUUGCUAAGUCAGACGUUAAAGCCCUGGGCUCAACCCGGGAAUCGCGUUUUGAUACUGGCGAGCUUUGAGAUUCAGAGAGGUGAGUGGAAUUCCUAGUGUAGAGGUGAAAUUCGUAGAUAUUAGGAAGAACACCAGUGGCGAAGGCGGCUCACUGGCUGAACACUGACGCUAAAAGCGCGAAAAGCGUGGGGGAGCAAACAGG